Molecule: non-coding RNA, 24 nt
Filed under: Cricetulus griseus (Chinese hamster)
Lineage: Eukaryota; Metazoa; Chordata; Mammalia; Rodentia; Cricetidae
Source: RNAcentral
AAGAAGGUUGAGAAGUCUGUUAAU